UAUGUGAUGUCUCUCGCAUAUCAAUAAGCGGAGGAAAAGAAACUAACAAGGAUUCCCCUAGUAACGGCGAGUGAAGCGGGAAGAGCUCAAAUUUGAAAUCUUAAAGGGUUUCCCUUUACGAAUUGUAGUUUAAAGAAGUGUUUUCUGUUGAGGUUUUGGUAAAAGUUCUUUGGAAUAGGACAUCAUAGAGGGUGAGAAUCCCGUAUUUGACCUUUACUUUCAACUUUGUGAUACACUUUCAAAGAGUCGGAUUGUUUGGGAAUGCAGUCCAAAAUGGGUGGUAAAUUUCAUCUAAAGCUAAAUAUUGGCGAGAGACCGAUAGCGAACAAGUACCGUGAGGGAAAGAUGAAAAGAACUUUGAAAAGAGAGUUAAACAGUACGUGAAAUUGUCAAAAGGGAAGCGUUUGACACCAGUGUUGUUUUUCUGAAAAUCAAUUAAAGAACUGUUUAUGCUAAGUUGUUUAGACUUUAUCAGCUAACUGUUUAGUUUUGAGCUUUUCUUUAAUGCACUUUUCAGUUAACAAGUCAACAUCAAUUUCUUUUGCUGUAAAAAAGCUUGAGGAAGGUGGCUUGAGAUUCGUCUUAAGUGUUUAUAGCCUCUUGCCUAUGCAGUCGGAGAGAUUGAGGUCUGCAGCGUAGAUCCUUCGGGGCUAAAUGCAUUUGUGCUAAGUUAUAGCAUUUUAUAGACAACUUGUUGACUAUGAUUUGUCUUGUAGCUUACUCGCUUAUGUUAUUUUACCUACGCUUAGGAUGUUGACUGAUAUGUAGUCGUA
This 773-nucleotide ribosomal RNA is filed under the name uncultured Neocallimastigales. RNAcentral describes it as "partial large subunit ribosomal RNA". It matches the Rfam family "Eukaryotic large subunit ribosomal RNA", at positions 24 to 644 of the family's 3401-position model. The record is from RNAcentral. Lineage: Eukaryota; Fungi; Neocallimastigomycota; Neocallimastigomycetes; Neocallimastigales.